Long non-coding RNA from Paramormyrops kingsleyae, 1197 nucleotides. RefSeq lists it as uncharacterized. The record is from RefSeq and is a predicted model, not a curated record. NCBI's taxonomy places the organism in Eukaryota, Metazoa, Chordata, Actinopteri, Osteoglossiformes, Mormyridae.
GGCAGCAGAGGGCUCUACUGUGUCUUCAGCUCCAGGCUGGACCCAGGUGGAUUUCAUCAUAGAUGUUGGCCUGGCCAAGAAACUGGCGCCGAACUCCCGAGGCCUGUUCGUCUACACACCAGAGAAGUCAAGGUCACUCUUGGCCUGCGGGUUUGUCGUUGGCCUUGAAGCAGCGUUUGUCCUGCCGCCAAAAUCUCCCCACUCCUCUUUCCUCAUGUCAAACUUUGUGAAGAACUGAAAAGAGGCAAAGACCCAAGUCAGCACUCCCUCCCGGGAAAAGCAGGUGACUCGGUGGUUAAGGAGCUGGACACGUUCCCAGGAACGCCGCCCAUUUCCGAGCAUGGAUAAGCAGGAAUCCCUCCCGCUACCUCAGGCCCGGCAACUCGAGUUCGGUAGCAGGGUCAGGCUGGGUGAGGACUGAGGGGGGAUGUGCAGGAUGCUGGACUGUGCAGGAUGCGCCCCCCCCCCCAUCUGCUGGAGAGUCCCCUGUCUGGGAGAAACGAAGGGCCAGAAGUCAGAGCCGGCGGAGCAGACAGCAAACAGAUCGAUGGAACACAGGACUUUGGAGGGAGGGUCUGAGAAACUUUAUUGGCAACCUCCAGAUAUGAAGGCGAUUCCUCUACCUCUGAUGCCCAGCACACUUUUCUCCUUCCAUCACCGUUAGACGUGGGAUUGAGAGCUGUCUGUCUCCCUGGAUACCAUGCAGAAGAAACACGACUGGAUACAAAAGGGGCGCGGAGUUACACCUCGUCCUUGCCGUAGCGGAGUGACAGCUUAAUUUCCCCUGUCAAUAGAAUUCCUUUAAACGGGGCUGAAUAUUUGCCAGGUUCCAGCGGCUUAUGUGAUUUAUCUCAAUUUGCAAGAAAGGGAAAAAGGAAAAAAAUGUCCAUCAGAAAAUGCAUGUGUGGCUGAGAAACCAAUGUAAUACAGCAAGUGUCAAAUACUACGAUUAUACACCUUGAUAGAUAGAUAGAUAGAUUAUAAUUACUGUGAGUAGUUAAGAUGAGUAGUUAGAAAAUGGAUGGAAUGGAUAGGUGGGUGGAUGGAUAUAUGAAUUACAACUGGAAAAAAAAAAUUGUACAGGAAGCUUUACUACAUCAAGCAUACAAUAAAUAACCCUUCAUUAGUUCUGUAUAAAUUAUCAGUCUCAGUAACAACAGGUCUUCCUGUUCAAGUUUGUUCUGGGGGAAGCAAAUU